This 4158-nucleotide long non-coding RNA is filed under the name Cricetulus griseus (Chinese hamster). RNAcentral describes it as "lncRNA (ENSCGRG00015037748.1)". The stretch from base 2800 to 2835 matches the Rfam family "XIST RNA A repeat". The record is from RNAcentral. Lineage: Eukaryota; Metazoa; Chordata; Mammalia; Rodentia; Cricetidae.
CCCGAUUUUAGGCUGGCAAGAUGUGGAUUUCUUGAGGCCAAAGCUGCUAAUAUGUGAUUAAUCACAUUACUGCCUGACCUACGUAUGAUUGUGGCUCCAAGUUUCUUCCUGCGCAUAGUCAGUGGUGGUGUUGAGCAUUAUUUCUUCCUUUAAAAUUUUUUUCAUACCAUCUAUUUUGAUCAUUUUUCCUUCUUCCAACUCUUCCUCACGCAUCCAACUUUAUGUUUUCAUGUUCUUUUUCUUAAAAACCAAACCAAACCAGUCCUGUUGUGUCUGAAUGAUGUUGUUUCCCUUGGAGUUAUUCACCGCUUCUGGCUCUAACCAUAUUUCCGAUGCUUUUUCUUCAUAGACCCCUGAGCCUUGAGAGAAAGGGCUUGAUGAAGACAUCUAGGACGGAGUGCUCCAAUCUCUCUGCACUUUGGAGGACCAUUCUUAUUUAACUUCCCUGUCUGUUUCUCUUUGCUUUUUAGCGGUCCUGUCACCUCUUUCUUGGUUCUUCACAUUUACCCAGAGAAAGCCUCAAUGCCAUCUUACCCGAGAUGCUUCACUACAGUGCGUUUCAUGUACAGUGAAUUGCGUAGUUAAGUGUGCAUGAACUGAGCUUUGACACAGCAUUUCAUGCUUCUCAUGAGACUAGAAAAUGUCUCAGAACCCUGACAUACCUUGAAGUAGAUGGUGUGUGCUAGACUAACGAAGUUUGUAUGAAUUGGGGCUAUGUAGAGGACAGAACCCAAGUUUACGUCUUCUAUUUGAAGUUUCUCUCUAACAUCCCCACAAAAGGGCACACUGGCUGCAUACACUGUGAUCAGUAUCCGAAAGUUCUAAGUUAGAAGUCCUCGUUUAUACAAAGCCACAUACAUUGUGGAGACAGCUGUUCCUAGCUGUAAGGAGCCUUUCCUUGGUCUUAUUAUUUUUCUGUAACAUGUUCCCAUCUCUUUGACUAAUUAUCACUGGUAAUGAUUUUGGAGGUUUUCCAUGUACCUCCUGAUUGUUCCAGCAAAGUUUAUAUUAGCAUUAGUGCCUUGACAAGUUGGGCUCUUUCAAUUCCAGGCAACUGAGUGGCUUUCUUUCACCUGGUCUUGUCAAAGUAGCCUUUGGCCUUCAAUUAAGAUCUUAAUCGAAGAUUAAUUAAGAUCUUUCUGGACUCCAAGUCUGCCUUCAAAUACCUUUGAAAGAUUCAUGCCGCCACCUGCUGGCUUAUUCAGGCUGUGUGUACCAUUCAUUUAUUUAUUAUUUUCAUUUUCUUUUGUUGAGACAGGGUUUCUUCAUUUUGUAAUAGAGACCAUCCAUCCUUACCUGAACCACCGCGAUGUCCGGAUUAGUGAAUUGCAGGUACUUGGAAGGUCCCUAAGCAAAACAAUUUUGUGUACUUUGUUAUUCAUCUGAUGCCUAAAGAUAACUUAGAAUAAGGAGUGAUUUAUUUUGUUUAGUUGAAUCAACCAGAAGACAGCGUAUUCUUUGAUUUUCUAACACCUGGUAUCAAAUUUCUUUCAGAUGGCUAUCCAGUGUUUCUCAAUGAAUAAAAUUUGACAGUUCUCUAAGUUAACUGUUUCUCCAAGGCAAGCACUAUACCACUACUGGGCUCAACCUUUCCUUUGGCUUUUAGCAAUUAUUUUCUGCCACUGCUAGUAAGUAAACCGCUUUGCUGAAUUUUCAGUUCAAAAUAUGGAGUCAUUCCAUUGCCAGAGAAAGUACAAAAAUGCUGACGACCCAAAACUCUGAGCUUAAGCUGUACAACUAGUUCACAACUAAAUACCCUGAUAAUUUAGGAACUAAGGGGUCAUUUAGUGAAGUCAUUCCUCUGUUUCCUUACCAUGAGCUCACCAAUUAAUCCACAAGAACUUUUAGUCUCCAAGACAUACAAGGUGAGAUGUCCAAGUAGGCGAUAUAUAGAAAAUAUGCAUAUACAUGAUGUGUGACCUCACAUACAUUAUAUAAACGUUUAUGUGCCUUUCCCAUAAGCUAUAAAAUAGAGGAUAAUCCUUCAAUAUCACAUCAAAUAGUGGAAAUUUAGAAAUUUGGUCCGGUCAUUGAGUUUUGGUACCGUUAUAUUUAUUCUUCAUAUUAAUUAUUCUUAUUCAAGAUCGCUGCUUGAGCUGAAGCGCCAAUAAGCAAUCAUCCCCUUGUGUGGCCACUCCUCUUCUGUUCUCUCCGCCUUCAGCGCUUUAGUCGGUUAAAAACCAGCGACUGCGGCCAUAUUUUAAAGCAGUCUUCUGUGGAUGUGAGGUUUCUCCCUAUAUAACAGGGUCUCUGGGAACAUUUUUAGUUCCCCUACCACCAUGCCUUAUGGUGUGUUUAAGGAAUUAUAUCAAGAUUCCACAAAAUGCUUUUGAACAUUUUAAAUGUUCUGGUGGGCUUUUCUUGAUACUUCCUUCAUAUCUUGAUAUUUGUAAUAUUUAGGCAAUUUUUCAUUUUUUUUAAUGAAUAUUUCUUUGUCAGGCACUUUGUUGCCUCCUCUCGUGUGGACUUACCUUUACCUUUCUAUAUUUUUACUCCAUUUUUAUAUUUUUGCCCAUCGGGGCCACGGAUACCUGACCAUUGUGUCCUCCUUCCGUUUUUCUCCCAUGCCCAUCGGGGCUGUGGAUACUUACUUGCCUUUUCAUCCUUUCUGGUUUUAUCCCCUCUUCCUCUUCUUUUUCUUCUUUUUAGUCUUAGAAAACUUGCCCAUCCGGGCUGUGGAUACCUGCUUUUAUUUUUUUUUUUUUCCUUAGCCCAUCGGGGCCAUGGAUACCUGCUUUCCACACAAACCGAAUUUCUUGGUCCAUCGGGACCUUGGAUACCUGGGUUUAGUGUUUUUCCUUGCCCAUCGGGGCCUCGGAUACCUGCUUAAUUUUUGUUUUCUUUUCCUUUUUGCCCAUCGGGGCUGUGGAUACCUGCUUAAAUUUUGUUUUCAUUGCCCAUCGGGGCUUUUAGUGGAUGGAAAUAUGCUGAUUUUGUGAGUUACUGUCCUACUGGAAAAUUAAUCCUUUUUUUCCCUAUGCCUCUUGCUGCUGCUGCUGAUCAUUUGGUUGUGUGUGAGUGAACCUAUGGCUUAGAAAAAUGACUUUGUGCUUCAACUGAGUGAGUGUUCAGGGCGUGGAAAGUUCGUUUCCGCCAUUUUAUGGUUGCUGCAUGAUAUGGGCAUUCUCGAGCCAAUUAUGCCAAGAAUUAGGGAGUCGAGGUGGACAGUGGACUGGACAGAGGCAAUCAUUGUGUUAUCCACCAGCUAAAAGCUUUUUAUGUGUGGGUUUGGACUUGAUUUGUGGGUUUUCUUUUAAGAAUCAUGGUAACCGAAAGCAGAAAACCAAGGAGCUGUCGUGUUCAUGUGUGGUGUUAGGUGAAAUGUGCAGAGGGGUAGGGCUUGAAAUGGACAUUUCCAUAUUGCUGGGGAACUCUGUCCAGUUCUAAGGGGUGCUUCUUAUGGUCAUCAAAAUGGCGUCUCGGACCCUGUGCCCAAAAUUCAACAGUCCAACCUCUGUUCUAAUAGUUAUCAUUGGAGGUAGGGCAUUUAGGUUAUAAAAGAGAAGAUGGGGCUCAAGGUCUUGCUGCAGUAUAACGUGGUGGGCUUUGCUUUUCACAUGGUAGGUUGGUGGCUAAAUUAGCCCAGGGCACAAUGUGGCACAUGGUCAUGAGUGGCUAAGAUGGCGGUUUAUUCUGUGAUGAACCCUCAAAGGUACACCCUUGGAGGAAGUUGUGCAGGCUUGAGACAGAGUUUCUGGGGUCUUGGGCAUGUUUUAUGGGGUCUUGGGCAUGUUUUAUGGGGUCUUGGGCAUGUUUUGUGGGGUCUUGAUGUGCUUUGCCCAAGGUGAACUUGGUGCAUUAAGAUAGCAAGUGGUUGGUUCUACCUUGUGCCACUCGAAGCCCAACUGACUUAAUCAGAAAUGGGCGCUAUUUUGAAGUAUUUGCUGCUUCUUGACUUAACCAGUCAAAAAUGAGCACUACUACUUGGUGUAGAGGAUGGUAGUACACUGUGUGAAGACUCUCUGUCCUUCAAGGACUUGUGUUACUUUGGUACCUUACAUUUGUCUUUAGUCAUCGUUAUUUGAAGUGUCUAGCUGGCUGCGAGAGCACAUGCUUGUGAUUCUAACAUUUGAGGUGAUGAACAACAAUCCGAUCUGAGAGAAUUGAGGCUGGAGGCUCCUGAGGUUGAGGUCAAUGUGGGUUGCUGACUGAAACUUC